RNAcentral lists this long non-coding RNA (7092 nucleotides) under Sus scrofa (pig). RNAcentral's name for it is "lncRNA (ENSSSCG00055001628.1)". Lineage: Eukaryota; Metazoa; Chordata; Mammalia; Artiodactyla; Suidae. The record is from RNAcentral.
GUGUCCUUUUUAAGAAGCCGGCUUCAGGUGUGAGUGAGCACUUGUCAGGAUGGACAGCAGGGGGAGCUCCCGCCCCAUCAGCCUUCCACCUGCUGGUUGACCUGUCGUCUCUGGGAAUUCAUCGUGGAGCAAACAGGGUCGUUUUGUCUUGUUGUGUGUUUGUUUAACUUCAUUGGAAUAUAGUUGAUUGACCAUGCUGUGUUAGCUUCAGCUGUACAGCAGAGCGAUCGAAUGACACAUAUAUACACCCGCAUCCACUCUUUUUCAGCUUCUUUUCCGUGAUGGUUGAUCACAGGAUAUGGAAUAGAGGUCCCUGUACCGGACAGAAGGACUUUGUUGCUGAUCCCUCCUCUAUGUACGAGUUUGCAUCUACGAACCCCGAACUCCCUGUCCACCCCUCCCCUGUCCCCCUCCCUCUUGACAACCACAAGUCUGUUCUCCGUGUCUGUGAGUCUGUGUCUGUUCUGUAGACUGGCUCAUUUGGGCCACCCCCCCCAUAUUUAUAACGGCCACACGUGCGGCAUAUGGAAGUUCCCAGAGCCAGGGGUCAAAUGGGCGCUGCAGCUGCCAGCCUGCGCCACAACCACAGCAAUGCCCUACCUGAGCCACUGGCAGCAUCGCCAGAUCCUUAAUCCCCUGAGCCAGGCCAGGGACUGAACCCUCAUUCUCCUGGAUACGAUGUCAGGUUCUUCACCUGCUCAGCUGCAAUGGGAACUCCCCAUUCGUGCCAUAUUUUAGAUUCCACAUGGAAGAGAUGGCAUGUGGUUUUAGUCUUUCUCUUUCUGACUUACUUCACUUAGUGUAAUCGUCUCUAGGUCCAUCCAUGUUGCUGCGCAUGACAUGACUGCCUUCUUAUUUAUGGCUGUGUAAUAUUCCCUUUUAAGUAUUAGACAAGUUUUUGGAAACAAUGUUGCCUUGAUGAGACCUACCGUGUUGGCAGCCUCCUGGCCCCUUUAAAAUGUCUAUGCUGAGAUGUCACCGCCCGCAUUUGUCAGGAUGACGCGUCCCAGGGUUUGCAGCCCUUGUCUUUUCAUUACCUUAAUCUUAGAUUUUUGUGCGUGACAAUUUCCAGAGAAUCUGUUAGCUGCCAUUGAGAACUGGGCCAUGGAAGCAGGACGUGGAGGGCCAGUGAGGCAGGGAGAUGGGGUCAGCUCCUUGCUUCAUUGUACUGAUGAUGUUGCCCAUCUGUCAUUUGUAACGGGGCAUGGCUGCUGGUUCCCAGGACCCCUCCUGUCCCCCCGCCAGCCCCCUGUGCUAUGAUGCUUAGAUUUCCCACCCCUGCAUGUGAUGUCUGGGGUACGUCCUGCCCAGCGGGAUCGACUCGGGGAUGUGUCGCGAUUCCACAGCGUGGGCGGUGGGGCUGGAAGGUGGUCGUCCCUGUACACAGAACAGGUGGCCUCUGGGGGCCCCCAGUGGGAGGAGCCCCAAGGGCUCUUCCAGCGAUGGUGAUGGUGCCACGUAAAGCAUCUUGGCAUCAUACACAAGGGGGCAGAGUCCAAAACCCAGAGAGAGGCACUGCCAGACGGCCAGGGGUCCCUGGCUCUCAGGAGGGAAUUGGGCAGAGGCAGCCCCUCCAGCCUUCAUUAUGGGCUGUACAUCCUGGGGCCUCCUGGUGCCCUUGCAGGUGGAAUUGAAUGUCAAGCGGAUGCUGUUAGGGAAGAAAGAUGCCUGGUAGAGGCGCCUGGGGGGCUCUCGCUUGGCAGGAUUUCCGGGUGGUAAUUGGCUCCCCGGCUAUUCAUGUUUGACUUACGAUUUCUAAUCAUCUUCCCACUGUCUCGUGUGGCGACUGGACCAGCGUAUGAGCAGAUGUGUUCUUUCUUGGGUUACAUAGUAUCUGUUUCGAGUCGAGGGAGGUGCGCCUGUCUGCUUCUACCUCCGUGUCCGUAUUUAUGACCAUGCCUGAGAGCCUACACCCUUGUGUGUCCGUGACGGUGGGACGCUCUCUGUGUCUUUCAUCCCACCUGGAGGUCUCUCUCUGUACCAUCUGAAGGCUGUGUCUGGGCUCUGUCAAUAAGUGUAGCCAACCUGUGCGUCUAAGCACAGAUUGAGAUGUAUCAUGUCAGGCAGCACUUUUCUCCUCAGAAUUAUAGAAUUCCUCGUAAUACUAAUAAUACUACCGUUUGACAAAGGGCCGACAGGCACAUCAGUCUCGGUCAGGCUGGCAGUCUCUCUGGGCGGGGCACCCUCCUACGUGCUGUCCAUACUGUGUGAUGCUCGUUCUUUUCUUCUUUUAAAUGUAAUUUUAGUUGUAUUAUAGUUACUGUACAGAGCUGUGGCCAUUUCUCCUGGACAGCAUUGUGACCCAGACACACACAUACACACGCACACAGAGGCAUUCUUUUUCUUAUGCUAUUUUCCAUCCUGGUCUAUCCCAAGAGACUGGACAGAAUUCCUUGUGCUGGACAGCAGGACCUCAUGGCUUCUCCACUCUCAAUGUCCUAGUUUGCAUCUACGGACCCCAAGCUCUCCACGAUAUGAAUUAUUUUCACACACCGCCCCCCACCCUCCCCAGCAGGCGUCCUUACCUUGGUGUUACAGAUCGGGAAACCGAGGCACGAAGCCUCAUUCACCUGCUGAUGUGGGCAUUCCAGCCGAGCUUUGAUAAGCGUGGGGGUGUUGGUGGUGGGGUCUGGGGUGUCCUGUGACCGCCAGAAGCCACCCAAUUUCUCUGUGGAAGAAGUCGAUCAGGAGCAAUGUCACCAUUCUUUGUUUUUCCAAAUCAAGGCAGCCAGGGCUCUGGGGCCGCGUUUGAGCUUAGCUACAAGGGGAUCACGGACACUUUGUAGGGGGCAUCAUAGGGUCCUGGGGCAAGAUGGAGAACGCCAUUUUUUAAUUUAAAGUCUCUGGGCCCCCAAGCAGGAUGUCGAAUAUAUAUGGGAAGGAGAUAAAAGGAUGUGGAAAGAGGGAUUCAGCCUCCUGGUGAGUCCAGUAUCUGGUUUGCAUGGGGCUGAUAGAGCAUCUGGUUGCCCCAGGGCUGGUCCAGCAUCUGGUUUCCAUGGUGUUGGUCUAGCAUCCGGUUUCCAUGGAAUUGAUACAGCAUCUGGUUUCCACAGGGCUGGUCCAGCUUCUGGUUUCCAUGGUGUUGGUCCAGCAUAUGGUUUCCAUGGGGCUGGUCCAGCAUCUGGUUUCCAUGGGGCUGAUACAGCAUCUGGUUUCCAUGGUGUUGGUCUAGCAUCCGGUUUCCAUGGAAUUGAUACAGCAUCUGGUUUCCACAGGGCUGGUCCAGCAUCCGGUUUCCAUGGUGUUAGUCCAGCAUCCGGUUGCCAUGGAGUUGGUCCAGCAUCUGGUUUCCACAGGGCUGGUCCAGCAUCCGGUUUCCAUGGGGUUCAUACAGCAUCAGAGGCCUGGCUCGUGAGGAGUGAACCAUUUAACCCUGGGGGACAUUUUGGCCUUCACGUGGAAAGCACUAGUAGAAACGCUGUGUUUAAAACAUGGUUUUCCAGGAAGGAGUAGACAUCAGUGCCCCCCUAGAGAGAGCAUAAAUGAUGUGUGAACAUGAAGCUCCCCCCCCACCGCCCCACUGUCAAGCUCAGAAAAUCAGGUCCGCCCAGCUGAUUUCCUGGGAGGAAGCUGAGCCCCCCACUGCUUCCGGGUGAGGUGGGUGAGAAGGGAAAGCCCUGGAGCACGUGGCCUUAGUGGGGACAAGACACAUUUCCAGCAGGGAAAUUGUCUGGUGUGGCUGAGGUCCUGGUCGAGAGGGUGGAGAGAAUUUGGAAGUGGGGAGGGAAGAAAAAAGAGCCUCAGAAGGGGCAGAUGGCAGAGCCAAGAAUGUGGGAGCAGGCGCCCAGUGGCCCACCCCAGCUGCCCUCUGCCCGGCCCGCUGCAGCUCAUGGGGCCAGGACAUGGGUGGGGGUGGGGGAGGUCAAGGCUAUAGCAUAGGCAUUGGAUGAAUUUCAGCUUCUUGAUGCAAAAAUCUACACGCCCACUUCAGAAGGGCAUGGUUUUUAUUUUCUUUAUAAUUUAAAACAAAAAUUGAGAAUUAUCAGUAAGACUUAGGAAAAUGAUAACGCAGAAAAAAAUGCCCUUCUUGGUAAUAACCACCAGUUACAGUUGGUGUAUUUCUUUGCUGGGCACCAAACAUUUUUUUUCUCUUUCGAGCCGCAGCUGCAGCAUGUGGAAGUUCCCAAGAUAGGGGUCGAAUUGGAGCUGCAGCUGCAGGCCUUCACCGCAGCCACAGCCAUGUGCGAUCUGAGCCACAUCUGUGACCUAUGCCACAGCUUGCAGCAACACUGAGUCCUUUACCCAAGCAAAGCCAGGGGUCAAACCUGCAUCCUCACAGACACUGUGUCGGGUUCUUAACUCACUGAGCCGUAACAGGAACUCCUUGGACACCAAAUUUCUAAAAAGUAGAAUGAUCAUGUUUAUUUAUUAUUUUGUUAGCAACUUUCACCCACAUUCUGAAAAUUUCCUUAACCUUGUGAAAAAAAUUUUUUUUUUUUUUUGCCGCAUCUGCAGCAUGUGGAAAUUCCUAGGCUAGGGAUUGAACCCACGCCGGAGCAGGCACCUGAGCCACUUCAGUGACAACACUAGAUCCUUAACCCAUGGAGCCACCAGGGAACUCCCAACCUUGUGAUUUUUAUUGGCUGCCUUAAGAGCUUGAAUUAUUUCUCUUUGGGUGGGACGUUUAGGUUAUUUCUGACUUUUUUCUCUCAAAAUGACCCUCAGUCAUGGAUUCAUUCAGUAAACAGGUUACACAGCAGAUCCCAGGCUGGCCCCUGGAGGGAGGAUGUGGGAAUCUCGAGUGUGGUCUCUGGGAAUGAUGCAGAGGUUAGACCUUUUGCCCCACAGGCAGGGGACACGUCCCACAGGCUGUGCUGGUCCCGGAAAACCAGCAACAGUGAAACCGGUUUCAUCCAUAUGGGGUAGAGGCGUUACUCUAACCUCCCGAUUUCCUGCUCCAGUCUGAUGGUUCCAGGGCCUUUUGAGAUUCACCCACUGGACUCAGCGGGUUAAGAAUCUGACAGAGUGUCCGUGAGGAUGCGGGUUCCAGUCCUGGCCUCGGUCUGUGGGUGAAGGAUCCAGCGUUGUUGUGAGCUGUGGCGUAGGUCACAGAUGCAGCUCAGAUCCCGCGCUGCUGUGGCUGUGGUGUCGGCUGGCACCUGUAGCUCCUAUUUGACCCCUAGCUUGGGAACUUCCAUAUGCUGCAGGUGCAGCGGUGAAAAGGAAAAAGAAAAGAGAGAUCCAUGUAUGCGGACAAGCUUGCGCCUAGGAAGGCGGUGCCCAUCAAGUCAAGGGGACCAUGUUGUGGCAUCGUCUGUGUCGCCCCUAUGAUACACAAAGAAGAACAAAACAGCCUGUAUUUCCUCCAUCACUAGCCAGGUUGGCUUUUUGUGGGAUGACUGGCUCCCACAGAUUUUUUUUUUCCUUAGAUGAAUUCCCGAGUUCCUCUCCACUUUGGUUCUGUUGGAUGAGUUAGCAGCUUUCAGUGAAUUCUUUUUCUCAUAAAAAGAAUCAACUCUGGGAGUUCCCUGGUGGCUCAGUGGGGUUAAGGAUCCAGCAUUGUCACUGCUGUGGCUCAGGUCACUGCCAUGGCUCGGGGUCAGUCCCUGGCCCCAGGAAAUUUCCUGUGAUGUGGGUGUGGACCAAAAAAGAAUUAUCAUCGACUCUGCCCUAUUUCCUUAAUCCUUUGGGGUUUAUCGCGUUUCGUUAGUUAGUUCAUGCUUUUGGAACCGAAAGGUCCCAGGUGAUCUGUGGUUGAUGAACGUGAGGCCACUUACUCCCAGACCUUUGGGAAACUGGGAGUAUUUGUAAAAAUAACAGGACUCAGAUCUGUUCUACCUGGAAGACGCUCCCUGUUUGGGGAGACCCCUCAUCACUCCCCAUGGCUGGUUAGUGCCCCGCUGGGCGUCCAGGUUCAGCCUUGCUUCCGCAGGGCCCCCUCCCCCACGAGGCCUGAGUACGGCUACCUGCCUGGUCCCCAUGUCACUGCCCCCUGCUCCGUCUCCAUCCUUUAGGCCCUGGCCACCCUCGUGUAGCCUCCCUGGACCUUCCCCCCCAGCGAGUGGACGGGGCUGCAGCACGAGGAAAACACAGCUCUGGACCCUGGUGGCCUGGCCCCUGCUGAGACUCGCCUUUCCCAGGUGCUUUUGCCAGGUGUGUUUUCCCCAGGCGCCGUGUUGCCCAGGCGCCUUUUCAGGCAAGAGAACACCCACCCACCCCACCCCAGGCUGCCUGCCUCUAAGGCUGCUGCCCUCAGUUCUCUAAAACCCUCUGACAGGUGCUUCCGAGUUGUGCCAGGAGGUGAGUGGCUGGCGAUGACAGCCCGGUCCCCAGGGCCGCCUGAACAUACAGUCUCCAUUUGCAAGAGAGGAGUCUCGCGGAAAGAACACUAGUUAGUGGCUUCCAGCAGCACUUUGAAGCCAGUCCCUGUGGACAGCGUGAACCCGUCAGGAAAGGAGAAAUGACUCAGCAGAGCGUGACAUGCCCUCCGCGCAGGGCCAAGGGCUCUGUGUCCCCGAGGCGCGUUAUCUCCGUGAGGAGGGUGCGUUUGAAGGGGAACGUGUGUCACAGUCUCUGGGCAGAGCCUGCUGUGCCUUUGCCUUUGUACCCAGAGCCGGUGUGCCUGCUUUGCCCGUUUCCACCCCUUUUGUCAUGUGCCACUUCAUUUUUGUCAUUUCCCACUUUUAACUGGAUGGCAAAGUGAGCCAUCCGACGCUGCUGCGCUUGCUCGGCGGCUGCACUUAGAAAGGCAUUCCUUUAUGAAGUUACAUAUGUGGGUUCUUACCUCUUUUUUUAGUACUUUUUUUUUUUUAUCGUUUGCACUUAAAAAUGUGUGGGAUGAACAGUGUGGGAUUGACGGGGGGAAGGGACCCUUGGAAUUUGUUUCUUUGAGCUACAGAAAUGGCCUGUUUGAAAAACAGAGUUCCCGUUGUGGCUCAGCAGGUUAAGAAUACGACGUAGUGUCCAUGAGGAUGCUGGGUCCAUCCCCGGCCUCACUCAGUGAGUUAAGGAUCCGGCGUUGCUGUGAGCUGUGGUGUCAGCUGCAGACGCAGCUCAGAUCUGGUGUUGCUGUGGCUGUGAUGUAGGCUGGCCGCAGCUCUGAUUCAACCCCUAGCCUGGGAGCUUCCUAUGCUGCAGGUGUAGCCCUAAAAA